RNAcentral lists this unclassified non-coding RNA (202 nucleotides) under uncultured Thelephoraceae. RNAcentral's name for it is "sequence contains ITS1". Lineage: Eukaryota; Fungi; Basidiomycota; Agaricomycetes; Thelephorales; Thelephoraceae. The record is from RNAcentral.
CCGAGUCGUCGACACGAGUUGUUGCUGGUCCUCAAACAGGGGACACGUGCACGCUCUGUUUACACAUCCACUCACACCUGUGCACCCUCUGUGGUUCUACGGUCUGGGGGGCCCUGCCUCCCUUCUGUGGUUCUGCAUAUUUACACACACACACUGUAACAAAGUCUUACGGAAUGCACAUCGCGUUUAACGCAAUACAAUA